Molecule: ribosomal RNA, 115 nt
Filed under: uncultured bacterium
Lineage: Bacteria
Description: partial 16S rRNA
Rfam family: Bacterial small subunit ribosomal RNA
Source: RNAcentral
UGGGGAAUAUUGCACAAUGGGGGAAACCCUGAUGCAGCGACGCCGCGUGAAGGAAGAAGUAUUUCGGUAUGUAAACUUCUAUCAGCAGGGAAGAUAAUGACGGUACCUGUACUAA